RNAcentral lists this ribosomal RNA (325 nucleotides) under uncultured eukaryote. Its description in RNAcentral is "partial 18S ribosomal RNA". It matches the Rfam family "Eukaryotic small subunit ribosomal RNA", at positions 1470 to 1796 of the family's 1831-position model. The record is from RNAcentral.
CCCUUAGAUGUUCUGGGCCGCACGCGCGCUACACUGAUUCAUGCAACAAGUUUUGUCCUUGGCUGAUAGGCCUGGGUAAUCUUUGAACGUGAAUCGUGAUGGGGAUAGAUGAUUGCAAUUAUUCAUCUUCAACGAGGAAUUCCUAGUAAACGCAAGUCAUCAGCUUGCAUUGAUUACGUCCCUGCCCUUUGUACACACCGCCCGUCGCACCUACCGAUUGAAUGGUCCGGUGAAGCCUCGGGAUUGUGGCGAGUUCCCUUUAUUGGGAGUUUGUCGCGAGAACUUGUCUAAACCUUAUCAUUUAGAGGAAGGUGAAGUCGUAACA